Molecule: long non-coding RNA, 5338 nt
Organism: Triticum dicoccoides
Lineage: Eukaryota; Viridiplantae; Streptophyta; Magnoliopsida; Poales; Poaceae
Exons: 11
Source: RefSeq, a predicted model, not a curated record
UUGGACGACGAACCCCCGCCUCCGCGGUCUGGUAGCCUCGUCGUCGGCUUUUGGACGACGAACCCUACGUCUUCGCGGUCGGGUAGCCUCGUCUUCGGCUUUUGGACAACUACCCCUCUUCGGGCACUCAUCGGCUUUUGGAAGACGACCCCUCCGUCUCCACGCAGAGGGAACGCAAUUUGUUUGGAAGGGCACAAGGAAAAGUUAUUUGCCUGAGCGUUUCCAGUUUGGAGCUAUCUGAAUUCAAUCAAACCGAAAGGUUUGCUGCCAUAUCCCAGUCCAGGGCUAGCUUGCUCUGCAUCCUUGCAAGUUCUCUCUAGGAAUUGACUUACAAUGGAUCACCCACUUCCGAGUUAUUGGAACCAGAUUGUGUUUGGCUUUCGAGACAGUGUUGUUAUUAUUGGUGACAUGCAAGGAACAGGAUUUUUGAUAGGCUCCAAAGACAGAAGACGUCUUAUCUUGACAUGCUGCCAUGUCGUAGCGGGUAGUGCUUAUAAAGCUAAAUUGCGAGAUGAAUAUUUGGUCCAAGUUUGCAUUACUGGAUAUGGUUUGUGUUCUGGCCAGAUACUACUUGCUGACGAUGAGAGAGAUGUGGCAUUAAUUGUGGUUACUACAGAUUGUGAUGGUCUUCCAAUGAUUGAACUACCUAAUUUGGAAUUAUCUGAUCGGGUUGUCAAGAAGGAUAUGGAAUUAGUCAUGUUGGGUUAUAUUUUCAUGCCUAAGGGUGUAAUUAAAGAACCAGGAACUUCUUACGGCAAAUCAAAGGCCAGCAUGUAUCACAAUUCUUUAGUGGGGUGUGAUAUAUUGCCGGUGUCAUAUGUAUCAACCCCCGGGACUUCGGGAGCACCUGUUUUCCUUGUUCAGAAAGGAAGUAGUCCAGAGGUAAUAGGAAUGCAUGCUGGAAGAGUGCAGGGCACUCAAUAUUGUAUUCCAAUGCCAGUGAUAGAAGAAAGUUUGCGCCAGUUGAGUACAAAGAAGGGCCUCUCAAUUCCUGAAAUGAUUGAGAAGAUCCUUUCAGCAGUGUGUCGAAGGAAGUAGGAAUUGCUCAUACACUUAUUAAAGUGGGACCAAAUGGACAGACCUUGUUGCUGAUGCGGAGAGACGUAAAUGUAUUUUCAGUGCCACUAAUGACGCAACCAUCUGUAAGUUGGUGUUGCAAGUAAGCAAGAGCUUGAUGAACUUGAGGAUCUUAAUGCUGAUUCAGGGGUUUUCAGCAAUACCAGAUGGAAGGUCAUUCUUAGCGACGAGUUUAGAAAGUCUUUCACCAAACUAAAAUCACCACAGCUCAGGAAGGAAGUACUCCAAAAGCUUAUCAAACUUGAAGAUGAUUGGAGGAGAACAGUUAAGAACCUUGAGAUGCCUGGUGCUUCUCAUCUUGCGAAAGUAUACACGGUCUGGGACCUGUAUCUUGUUUGGACUACUGACGUGAAGAAAACCGAAAGAACGUAUUCCCAGAUAAUAAGAAUUUGGGACCUAUUGUCACAGCAGAAUGUUGCAAGAACUGUUCAACGUCUCGAGAAUCUGUUCUCCAUGUACACGGAUGAUUACCUGGAUCAUUGCAAGAGAGUGGAGACACAGGGGAAACUGGAGGUUCCUAUGGUUUUGGUCUUUGGGAUGUUGUGCAUGAUAUUAUCCGCUAUAACAUGGAUUGCAAAGUUGAUUCUUAUGAAGAGCAUGAUCUCGUGGACACAUCAUAUGCUAUGAAGAAUCCAAAAGUUAGUGAAAGCUUCCUGCUGAUGAAAUUCUACUCUUUAUCAUCUGGGACGGCAAAGCAUUUGUGACAGCUACUAAUGGGUCUGAAAUUGACAUCCCCUUUGAACAGACUGAUGAAGGGCAGGUAUGGUCUACAUGCAAAAUGGUACUUCUAAAAUUGAGGAAGCUGGUGACUGUUUUGCUAGGGCUGAGUGCUGGUCGGAGACAGCUGAAAUAUUCUUUAAAGCUAAAUGUUACACCAAGUGUUUCUCCAUGUGCUCGAAUGGAAAACAAUUAUACAAUCUGGGCUUGCAGUUUCUGCAACAGUUAAGAGGAGGAACAUUCACUUGAGAAUUCAACAUCCUUGGAGGUUUCUGCAAUUAGAACGAAGUAUCUGGAAAAUUGCGCUCAGCAUUAUUUUGAGCGUGCUGACAUAAAGCAUAUGAUGCCCUUUGUUAAAGCUUUCAGCUCUAUGGAUCACGUUUAUAAAUUCUAGAAAUCUAUGUCAAGUUUAGAGAUGGAAAUGGGAAAUUUCCUAGAAGCUGUAGGAAUACCAAAGCAUAAAGGAGAUGUCUUAUUGGAGGUAGAUAUACCCGAGAAAGCAGAUUUGUUUGAGGACGCAACAUGGCUUCUCCAUAUCAUUGUGGAUUCCUUGUGGUCUUCAAAUAGUAGAGGAUGGCCUCCCAAAAGAUAUGCAGAGAAGGAGCAGUUGCUUGCAAAAGCCAAAGAGAUGGCAGAAAAGGUCUCUGAGUGCUUCUACUUACUGCUUUGUUUGCAUGGAAGCUGAUGCACUGUCAGAUGGGAAAAAGUCCCUUUCCAGUUUGAGUUGCACUUUGCUUGAGGGCAGAAAAUGUGCAAACUUGUUAGUUGGACUUGUUGCUUCCUGUUCGAUCCUUGAUGUUCAUCUUCAAUCUCGAGCCUCUGGAUACAAGAUAUAAUCAGGACCAGGAUCUGAAGAUGAAAAUAGCUGCAAUGACAUGCUGGCCUCUAACCAGAUGUCACCCCAAACUCUGUUUUGUGUCUGGAAUCACUGGAAGACGAUCAUAAUCAAAGUACUAUCUCAUCUUUGCCACACUGAUGGUCCAGAAUUAAAUGAUUAUGCAGUUGUUUAAGAAGAUCUUUGCGCCAAGUACUUUGGAUUGAGAAAAGAUGGUGAAGUUGACAGAUAUGUGGUGCUGAACAUGAAUGCAAGUUGGCUUUCCAAUGCUGACAGGAAUUCUUUGCAGCAAGACGGGAACAGAUGUUUAUUGGGUGCCCCUCAGUGUCGUUCAUGUGCUCAGUGUUUCUUGAUGAAUGAGCUGUCUUCUGUUGGUUUCAGUGUACUUAAGAAGUUGGAGUCGAUUGUUCAAAUUUCUCCAAAGCCGGCAUCUUCGCAUACCCUGGUGAGAACUAUCCUUAUCAUACAUGAGAUAGCAAAGUUUUUUGAAGAACCAGAGUUCAGUAUGCCAAAAGGUUCCAUGAAGUUAAGAAGCUUUUUUGUUCUCUGUGGGCAUUGAUUCUUUGAGUUAGUUUUUCUUGUGUGGAGAGAUGGGACAAUGAGGAGCCUCUUGCAUCUACUUGACUCGCCAGCUGCAUAUGGAUUGGUUGCUGAUUCUCUUGGUGCAGAUCUUCACCCAGCAAAUAAAAAUUGACUCAUGGGCAUCUUGGGAGAACAACCAUGCUUCUGCUUCAUGCAGCACAAUUGGACGAAGUGCUACUUUCAAGACUACUACAGUACCUGGGCAAUAAUUCUAAGUGGGCAGAUUUUUUUUGAUAUUUCAAGAUAUUUCUUGACAGUGGUCGGGAUAGAUCCUCCUUGAUCUUCAACUUUAAGCUUGCUCGAGUGUACCUUCAGUGUAAAGUGGAAGGAUGAACUGGACUACAUAUCCCCACCAUGCUAUGUGGGACUGUGGGUCUUAUGGAGUGCCUUGGUUUCUUGGCUUCAUCAUGCUUACUACAGAAUGAUUUUAUAUGCUGCACGAAAUCUCUGUUGGUCAAUAUGCUGGAAUGCCGUACCAGCAAGGCUUUACACUGACACCUGCCUGGUAUCUAAGUCAUGCUCAGAUUCCAAUCUUGAUGGUUUGGCACACUCAUCAGGCCGUUUCAUAUAUGAGACGAUUUGCGACCAUCUUGAUGGCCAAGCAUAUGCUCCAGGAAUGGGUACAUAGGACUUCAUGUCCUUCCAGUACUUCAUACAAAGCAGUCCUCCUGUGACUAGUUGUUACACUUUACCUUCUGAUCCUUACUCUUUCUCUGGGGAAGUGCUAUGAGGUCACACAUAACCUUGUGAGGAAUGAAAUCUUUAAGGAUUUACCUUUGGACUUCUCUAAGAAGAUUGAAGAUGCUUUGAAAAUGAGGUCUCGCACACCUAGCAACUUCACAAGAGUGCUUGCUGAUGCACUUGCCGCAAUCGGAGAUCGUAUGGUAGUUAUUGGUUCACCCGAAGCCCCAGUAAUCUGUCGAAACUUGAAUCCUUGUAUGAUUAGCAAGGAGGAUUUGCAUGAUGUUCCGAAGAUAAUGGCUCUUUGUGUCUUGAAGAAUCAAAUUCUGUAAAGCAAGAUACUCCAUUGCCACAACAAACUGAUGGUAGCAAGUGUCUUGAAGAACCAAGUUCUGUAAAGCAAGAGACUCCAUUUCCUGAAAAAUCUGAUGGUAGCAAGUUCAAAAAUGUUAUUUCUGGAAACAUUCUUGUGACGGUAGAGAUAGUAAAGAUAUGGAUCAGUCCGAGAAAGAGAAGUUCAACCGAUGUCCUUGUGCCUGUAUAGAGGUAUUAAAAGGUAGAGGGUUCGAGCAAGACAGAUUCAACUGGUAUCUUUGACACUCUCUGGAAGAAGCUUGAGACUUUUCUACUCGAUGAGCAAGACCAGAAAGAUGCAAGGGCUGUCUUUCAAUUUCUUAGAGACGCCCUUCCAUGGCUGGAGCAAACAGGCGUUCUAGCAUAGAUUGAUAAAGAACUUGAUGAACACAUUCUGGAAGAGGUCAAGCACAUCUGCAGUGAGUUUGAAAAACUCUCCGACAGGAUGGACAAAAAAGAUGUGGAUGACCUAUACACAAAGUGGGAAGGUGCUGGGAAGACACUGCAGCCGGUCAUCCGCCUUGUGAGUGGUACAGGAAUAUGCAUGAAUGAUUGUAGUGAAUGCAGGAAGUGAAGGUGCAAGGAAAAGGAGAAAGACCCCAGGUACCCAUCCUCUGCAUUCUGAAGGUGCCCACAGCCAGUUUAUACAAAACUUGUCCAGAUGAUGAGCGAGCUGACACGGGAGAAGCUGCCUCGACUUCAACAAAGGUGGCGCAGAAGCAGAAAGCAAGAAGAAAUCCAAGGAAACAAAGAAGUCUGACAAGGGCCGUGGCAAGAAAUGAGCUGCUGUAGUUACUUUCCCGCCUUCAAAGAAUAUUUGCGUGCACCGGAGAAGCUUGUACGUAAAACCAUUGGAUAAGACAGCAGAAAUGUGUUGCUUCGUGUCUGAUCAGGGAAUGCAACUUUUGAACCGGCACAAGACAGAUGCACCCAUGCAUCACGGUGAAGUUCCCGCUAAAUUAUUUAUGAUGAUUGAAUGUGCUUACGAAAGUGUUGGGGCCUUUUUGUUGUUGGCCUGUGGAGUAGCCUCCUAUGCGUUAUGGCACCACUUUUGAAUAUCCACACCUGUUGCACCGGAAUAGAGACCAUCAU